Molecule: non-coding RNA, 7267 nt
Organism: Nothobranchius furzeri (turquoise killifish)
Lineage: Eukaryota; Metazoa; Chordata; Actinopteri; Cyprinodontiformes; Nothobranchiidae
Source: RefSeq, a predicted model, not a curated record
GGAGCCUGAUCUCCAGGUCAUAGGGUCGAUGAGGAGGUAGCCUGGUAGUGGGUUCUUUAGCGAAGACCUGAGCGAGGUCGUGGUAUUGAGGAGGGACGAGCGUCAGGUCUACGUCUUUGGGAGGAGCUGCUCCAGUCCGAGGUGUAGGGGAGCCCCGGUGGUUCUGGCAACCCAUGCCCUAGGCAAGGACCUUACUGGUGGACCAGGAGAUGUGAGGCUCAUGACGGCAGAACCAGGAGUGACCCAGGAUGAGUGGUGUAGCCGGAGCCUGGAUGACCAGGAAGUGGAGGUUCUCCAGGUGUUGGUCAAUAGUCACGUGGAGACCGUUUCCCGGUCUUUUUGGGCACGUGCCACAGUGGUGACCCAAAUCCCCACAGUAAGCGCAUCGUUCCUCCUGAUAGCGCCGUGCCCAUUCCUCAGGGGGGAGAUGUCCGAGCUGCAUCGGCUCCUCCGUCGGUUGGUGAGCCGGACGACGGGGUGACGUUCUGGUGUGGAUGGGAGCUGACGUGGUGCUCGGCCUGUUCAGGAUGCAGCUGUCCAGCUGGAGAGCCAGAUCCACUGCCAGGUCCAGGGAGGUGGGGGAUUCGUGUCCGAUCAUGCCCUCUCGGAUUCUAGGUGACAACCCCUCCAGGUAAACGGCCUUUAGGGCGUCGUCAUCCCACCUCAACCGAGCGGCUGUCAUCCGGAAGCAAGAGGUGUACUGAGCCGCCGUCUGGGAGCCUGUUACGGCUGUUGCUGUUUGCCUCAGAAAUCUGACACUGCAGAGGACAAUCAGUGCUGCCUCCACCUCCUACCUGCACAGCUGCACUCACUUGGGCUGAUCACCUCCUGAGCAGCAUAAAAGGGAGAGCUGCCAGGAGGAAGGGAGAGACUGGAUCUGUGCCAGUUCUCUCAUGUGCUCCAUUUGUUUGUGUUUUCAUGGCUUUUAAAUGGGUUUUUAGUUCUUUAAGCUUAGUGAAGCUUAAGAGCUUUUAGAGGUUUUUAACAGACGAGGGACCAGAGUGCUGGUUACCUCUUGGCUCCCAAACUUGUGUUUAAGUCAGUGGACUUUGUUUUGUGAAUCUUUGGGAGCAUUCGAUGUCUGUUUUAAACGUAAACCCUUGGCCAUUUUAACAAUGUGUUUAAGUACUUUUAGAUUUGGAGCUUUUUGUCAUUUUAAAAUCCUUUUAAUAAAUCAAUGUUUACAAUUUCCACAACUGAAGCACAUGCCUCUGUGUUACUCCCCGUCCUUCUCCAUAUCCACCAAUAGAGGACGUAACACAAUGGGGGCUCGUCCGGGAUUCUCAACCACCCCAUGAAGGACUUUUAAUGGCAUGUGCUUUUUGCAAACAGGUUUUAUUCAUAGGGUUUUAAGAUGUGUGGUCAGCUGUGUCCUCUCAGGUAUUGUGAGUAUGCCCUUUUUGUUUUAUUCUGUUGUGCUUGUUAAAUUUUAAAGUGAACAGAGUGAAUUCCCUAUAGGCUGUAGGAGCGCACCCUCUUUAGGAUGCGUUCUGGUUUUUGUUUUUCUAGAGUUGGGAUUAUGGAGGUUAGUGUUGGUGAUUCAGUUCACCAUCUCGGGAGCACCCCAGGAAGGGCUGUGGCUAACCCCCUCCCUUUGCUGGUUUGAAUGUGCCUCGGCACAUGUGCUUAAUCAGCCCAUCUCUACGCCCCAUGAAGACUAGGGUGGAGAUCAGCUAGGACUCCUUCCAUUAGCUAGAGGGAAUUCUUGUUGGACAAAAGACCUGGGAGUGUUUGUGAUAAAAGCCAUGGAGGACAAAGGUGAAAGAAAAAAAAUUGUGGUUGAACGUGUUUUGUUUUUUUUCUUUCUUUUAAGGGAGCAUUCGAUGUCUGUUUUAAAACGUAAACCCUUGGCCAUUUUAACAAUGUGUUUAAGUACUUUUAGAUUUGGAGCUUUUUGUCAUUUUAAAGUCCUUUUAAUAAAUCAAUGUUUACAAUUUCCACAACUGAAGCACAUGCCUCUGUGUUACUCCCCGUCCUUCUCCAUAUCCACCAAUAGAGGAUGUAACACAAUGGGGGCUCGUCCGGGAUUCUCAACCAUCCCAUGAAGGACUUUUAAUGGCAUUUGCUUUUUGCAAACAGGUUUUAUUCAUAGGGUUUCAAGAUGUGUGGUCAGCUGUGUCCUCUCAGGUAUUGUGAGUAUGCCCUUUUUGUUUUAUUCUGUUGUGCUUGUUAAAUUUUAAAGUGAACAGAGUGAAUUCCCUAUAGGCUGUAGGAGCGCACCCUCUUAGGAUGCGUUCUGGUUUUUGUUUUUCUAGAGUUGGGGUUAUGGAGGUUAGUGUUGGUGAUUCAGUUCACCAUCUCGGGAGCACCCCAGGAAGGGCUGUGGCUAACCCCCUCCCUUUGCUGGUUUGAAUGUGCCUCGGCACAUGUGCUUAAUCAGCCCAUCUCUACGCCCCAUGAAGACUAAGGUGGAGAUCAGCUAGAACUCCUUCCAUUAGCUAGAGGGAAUUCUUGUUGGACAAAAGACCUGGGAGUGUUUGUGAUAAAAGCCAUGGAGGACAAAGGUGAAAGAAAAAAAAUUGUGGUUGAACGUGUUUUAAUUUUUUUUUCUUUCUUUUAAGGGAGGAAGUGUUACGGCUGUUGCUGUUUGCCUCAGAAAGCUGACACUGCAGAGGACAAUCAGUGCUGCCUCCACCUCCUACCUGCACAGCUGCAUUCACUUGGGCUGAUCACCUCCUGAGCAGCAUAAAAGGGAGAGCUGCCAGGAGGAAGGGAGCGACUGGAUCUGUGCCAGUUCUCUCAUGUGCUCCAUUUGUUUGUGUUUUAAUGGCUUUUAAAUGGGUUUUUAGUUCUUUAAGCUUAGUGAAGCUUAAGAGCCUUUAAAGGUUUUUAUCAGACGAGGGACCAGAGUGCUGGUUACCUCGUGGCUCCCAAACUUGUGUUUAAGUCAGUGGACUUUGUUUUGUGAAUCUUUGGGAGCAUUCGAUGUCUGUUUUAAACUUAAACCCUUGGCCAUUUUAACAAUGUGUUUAAGUACUUUUAGAUUUGGAGCUUUUUGUCAUUUUAAAAUCUUUUUAAUAAAUCAAUGUUUACAAUUUCCACAACUGAAGCACAUGCCUCUGUGUUACUCCCCGUCCUUCUCCAUAUCCACCAAUAGAGGACGUAACACAAGAUUCUCCGAAGAGACACGGAGCUGGUUCAUUUCUGCCGUAUGCUGAUCGAUAGCUGCGCGCAGUUGAACCACUUCAACAGGCAGACGAGCGAACUCCGCUGGGUCAACUUUAGACUCUGUCAUCCUGUCAGGUUUGGUGGCAGAGCUGAAGCAUGGCUGAGAAGGUCUGUUGCCCAGACGCGGAGUGGUGGAGAUAAAUAGCGGGGUCUAGCUCCUUUAGGUUCGGUUUGAAGGCUGGUAAGCCUGAGAACUCGAUUCAAAGUCAGGUGAGAACGAUGACAGAGUAAUGAAUGAAACGCCGGCACUUCCUUAUAUAGUGUCGGCGUGAUGACGUCGGCGGCCACGUUGGUGGCGGGAAUGUUGGGAAAUGGUGGUGAGAAUGCUGGAAAAUGGAGUCAGCUGGAGGAGUUUGUGACAAUUUCAGUCAUUUUGAUACUUGACUUGUGAAAGCUGAUUUGAAGUUUGUUAUUUUUUCUAGACAUAUUUAGAAGGAAAUUUCAAAUAUAUUACUAUCAAUAUGGAACUAUUUGGAUUUUAGUAGCUGGAUUUCCUACCCCCUUGACGGAACAUUAGCAUGGAUAGGCUGGCAUUAACAUCGGAGAGGCUAGCCAUUAGCAUGUCUCGGAGAGUCACUAGUCAGCUAGUGGCCAACCUAGGUACGCUAAUGGCUAGCCUCUCCAAUGCUAAUGCCAGCCUAUCCAUGCUAAUGGUCCAUCAAGUGGGUAGGAAAUCCAGCUAGUGGCCAGCCUAGGCACGCUAAUGGUUAGCCUCUCCAAUGCUAACACCAGCCCGUCCAGGCUAACGCUAACCUAUCCAUGCUAAUAGACAGCAGAGGGAGUGUUUGAACCAGUCAAUGACCAGCCGAGGGCUGCUAGUCCCUAGCAUAUGUAGUAGUAACACCGGUAAAGGUGCUAUUCCUCAGUAAGCAGCGCAAGCCUCUCAGUUACCGGUGCCAGCUUAUCAUUAAUCAGGUCGGUAGUUUGCUAUAUAGCCUUCUGCUGCUGGGCAGUAGUCUUAAUUUCGGCCCCCAUACCGCACCAUACACAGACUGGCUCACGCUGGUGAGGAGACACCAUUAGUUCUAGUAACACCUGGGCUCCCAAGGCCUAUUCUGACAGGAUGGACGUUACGGGACCCUCAAGGAUUCCAGUUGGAUGAUUGGAGGAUUAUUUAGGAGGAUUGGAAUGAACAAACUGAUUUCAGUGGUGAUCGGCUAAAUGAGUGAGUGAACCCACUACCAAGGAUGAACUCUGCUAACUUUAAAAAUCAGCUGCUCUAAAUAAGCAUGAAGGUCAGAGAGGAGGUCUAGGAUGGACAUGGAUAAAGGAACUGUAAUGUAGAGGUAAAGUAGGGCAGGCCCAACAUUAGCAGCUGUCAUACGGUCCAUCUGAAAUGUUAGACUUUCAUUUAGCUUGUUAUGUGACAGGUUAGAGCACAGUCUCAUGUUAGAGUUUUGUCAUGAAAACAUUGAGAUAUCUCACAUCCUGAUGGCAUCUAAAAAAAUUAUUUUUUCUCAAAAUAAAGAAUAAUUUUGAUCACAAUUGAAACUUACCAUCCCAGAAAAACCUCGUCCAAUCAAUGUGCAUGUCCUGUUCUCACUGAAUGGAUAGAAAUCCCUCCUUCAAGCCUUGCGUGUUUGAGUGUGUGUGCGCGCGCGCACACACAUGAGCGAAUUGUGAACUGGCGUUGUAAUUUAGCACUACUUAGAUGUAGCCAUCCUUACGCUGACAAAAUGUAACUAAGUAACUUUUACUUUUGAGUACAUUUUGUUUACGAUACUUUUUACUUUUACUUGAGUAAAAAUUUAGGCAAGUACUUUUACUUGUAAUUGAGUAAAAAAUUAUCAAAGUAUUGGUACUCGUAAUUAAGUAGGAAAUUUUAGUACUCUUUCCACCUCUGCUUAUAAGGACGUACAAAUUGUAUGUAGAGAGCUUUUUUUUUCAUGUCCCCCCAAAAAUUACUCUGAAGUUUUACUGUUUAUUGUCCCCCCCAAAAUUGAAAUGGGAUUUCCGCCCUUGCACCCAACAAUCACAGAUCUGCAUGUGCCAUUAUUAUCAGGGCUAUCCUGAUCCAAUCCAAACAUUUCAGAUUCGGGUCCCAAAUGUGGCAUUCCUAUUUCUGAUUGACAUCAGAGUUGCUGGUCACAUUCUGCUCCUAAACUAAAGCUUCCUUGUGGAUUCAGUUUAAUCACUUAGAUACUUGCUGUUUAAUGACGCAAACGUAUGAUUUAAAAGGCUGCUACAUGUCAUUUGCGUUGAUUUGAAACACAUCCCCCGAAAUUACUUCGAGGCGUCCCAACUCUGUAAUAUAUGAAUAACCAGUAGGUGAAUUUAACAAAACGAGUGAGACACGCUCACCUUGGUGACUGUCCCUAGUUUAGAUGUCUUUCAUACCAUCUAUGCUACAGCUACUGUCUUUUUUUUCUGUUGUUAUCUCAAAAUUAACCAGUUAGUAAGCUAUUUUAUUGACACCAUGUUUGUUUUGGUUGUACUCACAAACCCGGCUCUCUUUCCAGUCUUGAGUUCUCUAGUCCACCCCUAGUGGAACACUCCAGUACUACAAGCAGUGCAGUGCUGUGCCAUGUAGAGGCAAGUAGGUGAACAAAGACGCAGCCUGCUGCCUGCGCCAUCGUGAGGUCAAACAGCAAGUAUAUCUUGGCCCUUAUUAUCCUGGAUUUAUAAAGCUCAAAUGUUUUACUACCUUGUAAAGAUGUAUCAACGGUCUUGGGCCUUCUUAUCUAUCAGAACUGCUUUUACAAUAUGAACCCUCGCGGACUCUGCGCUCCUCUGGCAGGCGUCUCCUGGUCAUCCCUAAAGUCAGGACACAAACUCACGGCGAGGCGUCCUUCCAGUGUUAUGGCCCUCGCCUCUGGAACGAGCUGCCAGAGGACCUCAGGGCCUCAGAGAACGUUCAUGUUUUUAAGUCAAGACUCAAGACCCAUCUUUUUAGGUUAGCUUUUAUCUAAAUAUUUACUACAGUUUUAUUUCUCGUUUUACAUGAUUAUAUUUCAUUACUUGCUUUGCAUAUUCUAUAUGAUUAUAUUUUAGCACAGUUUUAUUAUUUAAAUUAUUAUUUUACUGUCUAUAUGAUUUUAUUUAUUACUUAUUUUCUAAUUGUUGUCAUUUAUAUUAGCUCUUUUAUUACAUUUUUACUCAUUUUAAUCCAGUGUUUCCUCUGUGGGGGCCCUCUGCCCCGAGAGCGGUGGUCGACUGUAGCUUCCUGGGCGCUCUAUAGGUGGGGGUCUAUGCUCCCCCUCCACUGAGCGCCCUGAGUUAGUGUGGAAGACCUGAUGCUGCCGGGACAGACGGCUCCUCUGAUGGCGUUUCCUUGCGUUACCAUACUUGGCUCAUCUGGACUCAGCCUAAUAUAAUUUUUACUCGUGUGUGUGUGUGAGUCUGUGUGUGUGUGCGUGUGAUUCAUAGACUGUAAAUACUGGACAAACGGAUUCCAUUGGCUUCAAUAACACGUUUGUUGUCUAUAAUGGGAGGUGGCCACCACCGCCAUUUUGACCGUGUCACAGGUUACGUCCAGCCCAGACAACUCCAUAAAAGGGAAGAGAGGAGGCGCUGAGGGUGUGGCUGUAAGGCUGGGCUCGAGUGACGACACCCAGGCGAACUAGCUACGAGCUAACCUGAAGCUAACCCUGGCUAACCCAAAGCUAAAGCGGAGGUGGGAGCCGAGCUAACGGAUGUAGCCACCUAGCUUCAACCCAACCGGAGCUAACUGGAACACCCAUCGACCUGAACCUCACACGGAGUUUAGGUGGAGGUUUUCUGCGCCUGUUCGUGAGAAGUACCUGUAUUAAAAAAGUUUUAAAUCGAUCUAUUAAAAGGUCACCAUGGCAGCCUGUGUGUCAACGUCAGCUACACAAAGCAGCAAGUGUAAGUACCAAGUACUUGUCUUGACCACUUCAUGAAUGGUUUUGUACUUUAAACAGCUAGGCCAAACCUGUUAUUUUUUCCUCCAUAGCCAUUUGGAUCAUUGGAGACAGCUGAGUGAGGCGUGGUGCCCAGAGAGCUGCAGAGACAACCUUGGCCUCCCUGACGUCUGUGUCUCUUGGUUUGGUUGGGGCGGACCAUCGACAUACAUACAUGUGCCGACACUUUGCGCCCUGUUUUAUAAACUGUAGUGUUAAAAAUAAAUGUUUUUGCUCAA